UAAAAACAUGUCUUUAGCUGAGCACAGUGGCACGCAUCUGUAGUUCCUGCCACUUGACAGGCUGAGAUGGGAAGAUCAUUUGAGGCCAGGAGUUCGAGGCUGCAAUGCGUUAUAAUAGUGUCUGUGAAUAACCACUGCACUGCAGCCUGGGCAACAUAGCAAGACCCAUCUUUAAAAAAAUCUGUCUCAUCUAUCAUCUCUCUAUCUGUCAUCUAUCUAAUCUAUGUCUUCAGGCCAGAUCUAGCCUGUAAACUGGUAAUUGAGGCCCUCUCCUCUAGCAGCAGUAGUAACAAUUAGAAGUGAUUGGAAUAGGGAGCAGUGUAUUUGGGUUUAGGAGCAGGGAGCAAGACGGUUUAAUGACAGAGAAGGAAGCUAAAGAUAUUAGAGUUUAUAAAUCAGUUUGUUUAUAAAUAGGCACGCACAUA
This 425-nucleotide long non-coding RNA is filed under the name Homo sapiens (human). RNAcentral's name for it is "HSALNT0062690". The record is from RNAcentral. Lineage: Eukaryota; Metazoa; Chordata; Mammalia; Primates; Hominidae.